GCGAACGCUGGCGGCAGGCCUCACACCUGCAAGUCGCACGAACUCUUCGGAGUUAGUGGCGGACGGGUGAGUAACACGUGGGAACGUGCCUUUUGGUUCGGAAUAACUCAGGGAAACUUGUGCUAAUACCGAAUGUGCCCUUCGGGGGAAAGAUUUAUCGCCAUUAGAGCGGCCCGCGUCUGAUUAGCUAGUUGGUGAGGUAACGGCUCACCAAGGCGACGAUCAGUAGCUGGUCUGAGAGGAUGACCGGCCACACUGGGACUGAGACACGGCCCAGACUCCUACGGGAGGCAGCAGUGGGGAAUCUUGCGCAAUGGGCGAAAGCCUGACGCAGCCAUGCCGCGUGAAUGAUGAAGGUCUUAGGAUUGUAAAAUUCUUUCACCGGGGACGAUAAUGACGGUACCCGGAGAAGAAGCCCCGGCUAACUUCGUG
RNAcentral lists this ribosomal RNA (432 nucleotides) under uncultured bacterium. Its description in RNAcentral is "partial 16S ribosomal RNA". It matches the Rfam family "Bacterial small subunit ribosomal RNA", at positions 29 to 507 of the family's 1533-position model. The record is from RNAcentral.